GCUCCGGUGGCCUAGUGGUUAGAGCAUUUGCCUCGGAUGCGGGAGGUCGUAGGUUUGAUCCCCAGUCGAUGAA
Non-coding RNA from Potamilus streckersoni, 73 nucleotides. Lineage: Eukaryota; Metazoa; Mollusca; Bivalvia; Unionida; Unionidae. The record is from the annotation of a GenBank genome assembly.